This 251-nucleotide ribosomal RNA is filed under the name uncultured bacterium. RNAcentral's name for it is "partial 16S ribosomal RNA". It matches the Rfam family "Bacterial small subunit ribosomal RNA", at positions 1250 to 1500 of the family's 1533-position model. The record is from RNAcentral.
CAAAACAGCGAUGUGGAGCAAACCCCUAAAAAAUGGUCUCAGUUCAGAUUGCAGGCUGCAACCCGCCGUGCAUGAAGUCGGAAUUGCUAGUAAUCGCGGAUCAGCAUGCCGCGGUGAAUACGUUCCCGGGCCUUGUACACACCGCCCGUCACACCAUGGGAGCCGGUAAUACCCGAAGUCAGUAGUCCAACCUCGUGAGGACGCUGCCGAAGGUAGGAUUGGCGACUGGGGUGAAGUCGUAACAAGGUACC